RNAcentral lists this ribosomal RNA (584 nucleotides) under uncultured fungus. RNAcentral describes it as "eukaryotic LSU rRNA". The stretch from base 213 to 366 matches the Rfam family "5.8S ribosomal RNA". The record is from RNAcentral. Lineage: Eukaryota; Fungi.
CUCUUGGUCAUUUAGAGGAAGUAAAAGUCGUAACAAGGUCUCCGUUGGUGAACCAGCGGAGGGAUCAUUAUCGAGUUAUUCAACUCCCAAACCCUAUGUGAACUUACCACUUGUUGCUUCGGCGCGCGCUUCGGCGCCGCCGAGGACACUUAAACUCUUUGUUUUUAUAAGCAUUUCUGAGUGGCCGAAAGGCAAAAAUACAAAUGAAUCAAAACUUUCAACAACGGAUCUCUUGGUUCUGGCAUCGAUGAAGAACGCAGCGAAAUGCGAUAAGUAAUGUGAAUUGCAGAAUUCAGUGAAUCAUCGAAUCUUUGAACGCACAUUGCGCCCGCCAGCAUUCUGGCGGGCAUGCCUGUUCGAGCGUCAUUUCAACCCUCGAGCCCGACUCUUUUGAGGACGGCUCGGCGUUGGGGGACGGCAGACUCCCCCCGGCAUCUCGCCGGGGACGCCGCCCCCGAAAUCUAGUGGCGGCCCUCCGAGGCGACCUCUGCGUAGUAACUUGUUCUCGCACCGGAAAGCUCAGAGCGGCCACGCCGUAAAACCCCAACUUUUUUCAGGUUGACCUCGAAUCAGGUAGGACUACC